CCAGUUCCCAGCCUUCUUCCACUUGGACAGAGCCAUGCCAUUAAGGUCUAGUGGAGCCUAAAUAAUUGGAAGUGGCCAAGGCAGGCUCUUAGUGUCUAAGGGCCCUGUUUUGCACACUCACUGCCCUGUAAUAUAGCCUCUUGUAAACAGAAUUUAAGCCAUGUAUCGGGAUAUACUGUGAUUGCA
Prionailurus viverrinus (fishing cat) is the source of this 186-nucleotide long non-coding RNA. RefSeq lists it as uncharacterized. The record is from RefSeq and is a predicted model, not a curated record. NCBI's taxonomy places the organism in Eukaryota, Metazoa, Chordata, Mammalia, Carnivora, Felidae. The transcript is spliced from 3 exons.